CUGAUAACAUGUGCCAGGGUUGAAUUUAAAUUUCCGCAUGUGAGUCGUGCGGCAGCAAAAUUGAAGGGCUCCUCAAAAAAUAAAAAUAAUCCAACUUUAGGAACGCAGGAUAAACUUCCAUUGGUUGCUAAAAGAGAAAAAAGAAAUUAUUACUUAAAACUAAAUUGCAAAAGAAAUUCGAUUUUCUUCUAAUUUAAAUAAAAAAUUCGAAAUUCUUACACUUACAAUUGUCAUUGGCCCAAAUCCAAUAAGGAUAUGAACUAUAAUAUUUUACACCUGUUGCAUUUUGAAGAGCUGUGAAAUUAUGAACUUCAGGACAAUCCAGAGCUACACAAUUUCCAUUGUAGUUGCUUCUGAAAUCUAAAAAUUGUUUCUGCGUUAUCGUCGGCUCUUUGUGUAGCGGCAGCUGCAGCACGUCCCAUUAAUCGCUUCUGAAGAGUCUCAUUAGCGACGUCAAAGAAAAAAAUAAGGUCAACUGGACACACCUGAG
Leptopilina heterotoma is the source of this 490-nucleotide long non-coding RNA. RefSeq lists it as uncharacterized. NCBI's taxonomy places the organism in Eukaryota, Metazoa, Arthropoda, Insecta, Hymenoptera, Figitidae. The record is from RefSeq and is a predicted model, not a curated record. The transcript has 3 exons.